ACUUCCGUCUGCGUGGGGCCCACAUCCUGGAGCGCCCAGGCUUCCGAGGGGCAGACGGUGGGACCUGGUCCGGGCUGAGGUCCUGGCGGGUGAGCAGGAUCUUCGCCGUGCGGCGCAGAGGGUGACAGUGGAGAAGGUGACCAGAAGCCAGAAGGAGCCUAUGUGAAAGAUUAUGAAAUGAUGGAUCCAGAGCAUACAAAUAGCAUGGCCUUGAAAAAUGCAUGGGUACAGAUCCGGAGGAAUGCCAGGACCCAGGACUUCUCCAUGAAGACUUUCUAGACUUGUCUAUUCAAAGAUAAUCAUUCCCAACGGCAAACAAUUC
RNAcentral lists this long non-coding RNA (322 nucleotides) under Equus asinus (donkey). Its description in RNAcentral is "lncRNA (ENSEASG00005033648.1)". Lineage: Eukaryota; Metazoa; Chordata; Mammalia; Perissodactyla; Equidae. The record is from RNAcentral.